GACGAACGCUGGCGGCGUGCUUAACACAUGCAAGUCGAACGGAAAGGCCUGCUUUCCCUUGUGGAUUGCGGGUACUCGAGUGGCGAACGGGUGAGUAACACGUGAGUGAUCUGCCCCCAACUUGGGUAUAAGCCUGGGAAACUGGGUCUAAUUCCCGAUAGGACUGCAGGGUGGUGCCUGUGGUGGAAAACGAUUUUCUAGUGGUUGGGGAUGAGCUCGCGGCCUAUCAGCUUGUUGGUGGGGUAAUGGCCUACCAAGGCGGCGACGGGUAGCCGGCCUGAGAGGGUGGACGGCCACAUUGGGACUGAGAUACGGCCAAGACGCCUACGGGAGGCAGCAGUGGGGAAUAUUGCACAAGGGGCGGAAGCCUGAUGCAGCGACGCCGCGUGGGGGAUGACGGCCUUCGGGUUGUAAACUCCUUUCGACCGCGAGGAAGCCACCUGGUUGGAAGGGUGGUGACGGUAGUGGUAGAAGAAGCACCGGCUAACUACGUG
Molecule: ribosomal RNA, 494 nt
Filed under: uncultured bacterium
Lineage: Bacteria
Description: partial 16S ribosomal RNA
Rfam family: Bacterial small subunit ribosomal RNA
Source: RNAcentral